CCUGGCGGCUUUAGCGCGGUGGUCCCACCUGAAGAAGUGAAACGCCGUAGCGCCGAUGGUAGUGUGGGGUCUCCCCAUGUGAGAGUAGGGAACUGCCAGGC
Molecule: ribosomal RNA, 101 nt
Filed under: Enterobacter hormaechei subsp. xiangfangensis
Lineage: Bacteria; Pseudomonadati; Pseudomonadota; Gammaproteobacteria; Enterobacterales; Enterobacteriaceae
Source: RNAcentral